AAAAACAACUUUGGAACGGGUCAUCAUCUUAUUCUCACAAUAUUAUUAUUACAUUUGCAUAUAUGUCACCAACUUCUCCCAAGUCCUCUCAACACACAGUCACACACAUACACGCUUCAAUUUUCUCUUACUCGGUUUACGCGGUGUUCACACCGUUUAUAUUUAAACUACGUCGGCACUAAUCAACAUUCUCUCAUUGAUCAUCGUUGUUCCCUUUCUCAUCAACAUGGCUACAACAACUACAACAACAACAACAACUUCAGAGCCACGUAUGAUACCUGAACGAGGUCGUGUUCUUAAAAGGAUUCUUAAAAUGGUGAUGCCGUUUGUUUUGUGUUCUGGUUCUGCUUCCCAUACUACCUCUACCGAUUCACAUAAUCUACAAAAGAAGAAGAAUUCAUUCCUCUAAUGCAUGUUUCAAGCAGAAUAAAUAACACGUCAAAAUGAACAAUAUAGUAUUACCACCGAGUUUCUCUAGUUUAGUUAAUAGUUGUGUGCAUUUUGUGUUUUUCUUUCUGUCUGUUUUAUUGUAAACUAGUUGCCAGUAACGAUUUUGAGUGGAUAAUUCAUAUUUUGCUUUUGGUUUUUAAGCAGAGAUGAUUGAAAUUUGGUAGAUAUUGAUGUUAAUUUAUUAUUGAAUGUUGAGAAUAGCCAAACAAGGGUCCCAUGUGCAGUGAGUGAUGAUGUCACCAAUCCUAGUUUGAGGUGCUGAUGAUAAUUAGUGGUGUCGUGUCACCCAGGGACCACGUUCAAGUGAAGGAGCUAAACUAACCCCAACUCCAAUUACUUUAGACAUUAAACACUGCAACAAAUAUUUAAUAUAUUCAUUGGAUUGAUUCAAUAAUCGCGUUAAAUCACUUUUUAAUUGAUAAAAUAAUAUAUAAAAAAAGUAGGAAGUUAAAAGCUCACCAACAAAAUGAGAUCAGAGUUAUACUGACACAAGAAGUGUGGAACUACAAAAGAAAUAUGUACAACAAAAUCAAAAGUCCAAAAACAAUAAAUCAUGAGCAAAUGCUAG
Molecule: long non-coding RNA, 1018 nt
Filed under: Lathyrus oleraceus (garden pea)
Lineage: Eukaryota; Viridiplantae; Streptophyta; Magnoliopsida; Fabales; Fabaceae
Description: Pisum sativum (pea) long non-coding RNA (PSAT_LNC028669)
Source: RNAcentral